CUUUACUGUAACCUGGAAUUGGGUUCGGGCUUUGCUUGCGCAGGAUAGGUGGGAGGCGUUGAAGCAUUCCUUGUGGGGAGUGUGGAGCCAACGGUGAGAUACCACUCUGGUGAGGCUAGAAUUCUAACCCAAUGCCGUGACCCGGCUUGGGAACAGUUUCAGGCGGGCAGUUUGACUGGGGCGGUCGCCUCCUAAAAGGUAACGGAGGCGCGCAAAGGUUCUCACAGGCUGGUUGGAAAUCAGCCGUAGAGUGUAAAGGCAUAAGAGAGCUUGACUGCGAGACGUACAGGUCGAGCAGGGACGAAAGUAGGCCUUAGUGAUCCGACGGUUCCGCGUGGAAGGGCCGUCGCUCAACGGAUAAAAGUUA
RNAcentral lists this ribosomal RNA (367 nucleotides) under uncultured organism. Its description in RNAcentral is "bacterial LSU rRNA". It matches the Rfam family "Bacterial large subunit ribosomal RNA", at positions 2099 to 2465 of the family's 2925-position model. The record is from RNAcentral.